CCCUUUGUUGUUAAAACUACCUUGUUGCUUUGGCGGGACCGCUCGGUCUCGAGCCGCUGGGGAUUCGUCCCAGGCGAGCGCCCGCCAGAGUUAAACCAAACUCUUGUUAUUUAACCGGUCGUCUGAGUUAAAAUUUUGAAUAAAUCAAAACUUUCAACAACGGAUCUCUUGGUUCUCGCAUCGAUGAAGAACGCAGCGAAAUGCGAUAAGUAAUGUGAAUUGCAGAAUUCAGUGAAUCAUCGAAUCUUUGAACGCACAUUGCGCCCCUUGGUAUUCCGAGGGGCAUGCCUGUUCGAGCGUCAUUACACCACUCAAGCUAUGCUUGGUAUUGGGCGUCGUCCUUAGUUGGGCGCGCCUUAAAGACCUCGGCGAGGCCACUCCGGCUUUAGGCGUAGUAGAAUUUAUUCGAACGUCUGUCAAAGGAGAGGAACUCUGCCGACUGAAACCUUUAUUUUUCUAGGUUGACCUCGGAUCAGGUAGG
This 481-nucleotide ribosomal RNA is filed under the name Aureobasidium pullulans. RNAcentral's name for it is "eukaryotic LSU rRNA". The stretch from base 149 to 302 matches the Rfam family "5.8S ribosomal RNA". Lineage: Eukaryota; Fungi; Ascomycota; Dothideomycetes; Dothideales; Saccotheciaceae. The record is from RNAcentral.